This 103-nucleotide non-coding RNA is filed under the name uncultured Pleomorphomonas sp. RNAcentral's name for it is "TPP". It matches the Rfam family "TPP riboswitch aptamer (THI element)". From Rfam's summary of the family: Vitamin B(1) in its active form thiamin pyrophosphate (TPP) is an essential coenzyme that is synthesised by coupling of pyrimidine and thiazole moieties in bacteria. The previously detected thiamin-regulatory element, thi box was extended, resulting in a new, highly conserved RNA secondary structure, the THI element, which is widely distributed in eubacteria and also occurs in some archaea. Analysis of operon structures identified a large number of new candidate thiamin-regulated genes, mostly transporters, in various prokaryotic organisms. Lineage: Bacteria; Pseudomonadati; Pseudomonadota; Alphaproteobacteria; Hyphomicrobiales; Pleomorphomonadaceae. The record is from RNAcentral.
GCUCAUCUCACGGGGUGCCCCAUCCGGGGCUGAGAGGAGCUUCUCCAACCCGACGAACCUGAUCCGGGUCAUGCCGGCGGAGGGAUAGAGCCAUGCAGACAUC